RNAcentral lists this ribosomal RNA (1026 nucleotides) under Alomasoma belyaevi. RNAcentral describes it as "partial 28S rRNA". It matches the Rfam family "Eukaryotic large subunit ribosomal RNA", at positions 121 to 807 of the family's 3401-position model. Lineage: Eukaryota; Metazoa; Annelida; Polychaeta; Echiuroidea; Bonelliidae. The record is from RNAcentral.
UCACUCUCCGCUGCGGAGACGGGAACUGUGGUGUUUGGGACGGCCUCUGAACGGCGCGUGGCGAUUCAAAGUCCGCUCGAACGCGGCUUUCCGGGCUACCAGCAUUGAGUGGCCUGGCCGGAGAGGGUGUGAGACCCGUGUGGGACGCUGCGCGCUCGGGCUUUGGUCCAGUCUCGAGAGUCGGGUUGUUUGGGAAUGCAGCCCAAAUGGGUGGUAAACUCCAUCCAAGGCUAAAUACGAUCGCGAGUCCGAUAGAGGACCAAGUACCGCGAGGGAAAGUUGAAAAGGACUUUGAAGAGAGAGUUCAAGAGUACGUGAAACCGCUGAGAGGCAAACGGAUGGGAUCGCAAAUGCUCUGGGUGAGAUUCAGCCCUCGUUCUGUCGGCUGGCGUGCCGCGUCUUGCAUCCGUGCUCGAAUCGCUUCGGCGAGCCGGGCGCGGGUCGGCGGCGCCGCGGUCGGCAGGAGCGGAGGGUGCACUUCUCCCGAGAGGAAGCCACGACCGGUUCUCGGCCCGUCGAGAACCGACGGAUUCCCGGCCCGUUCACCCUCGGGCGGAGGGGGGACCCGGGAACGACGCGCAUGGCUUUGGAAGCCAGUUCGACCGGGCCGUGGGACCGAGAGACCCACGCGGANACUUUGUCAAGCAGCGUGUCCUUCUUCUUCCUUUGUGUCGGUCGAGUGCGUUGUCGUCUANUUGAAAUCGUCGGGGACUGUUCUCAGUGCUCGGCGACGGCGACUCGUGCGGGUGGCCGCGGGGUUGGAACGCAGCUGCACCUAGUGCGGACGGCAGCAGUCUCCACGCAAAAUGUCGGGGGCAGUCGGUGGCUGUUUGGCAGACAACCCAUCCGACCCGUCUUGAAACACGGACCAAGGAGUCUAACAUGUGCGCGAGUCGUUGUGCUCGACGAGACACGAAGGCGCAAUGAAAGUGACUUUAUACGAGGUCUGACGAGGGCAACAGCACUCCUCAAGACCGGCCCGUCCAACGUCGCUUGUGUCGACGCGGACGGAGCAAGAGCGCAAAU